RNAcentral lists this ribosomal RNA (355 nucleotides) under uncultured Enterobacteriaceae bacterium. Its description in RNAcentral is "bacterial SSU rRNA". It matches the Rfam family "Bacterial small subunit ribosomal RNA", at positions 1026 to 1382 of the family's 1533-position model. The record is from RNAcentral. Lineage: Bacteria; Pseudomonadati; Pseudomonadota; Gammaproteobacteria; Enterobacterales; Enterobacteriaceae.
CGUCUGAGACAGGUGCUGCAUGGCUGUCGUCAGCUCGUGUUGUGAAAUGUUGGGUUAAGUCCGCAACGAGCGCAACCCUUAUCCUUUGUUGCCAGCGGUCCGGCCGGGAACUCAAAGGAGACUGCCAGUGAUAAACUGGAGGAAGGUGGGGAUGACGUCAAGUCAUCAUGGCCCUUACGACCAGGGCUACACACGUGCUACAAUGGCGCAUACAAAGAGAAGCGACCUCGCGAGAGCAAGCGGACCUCAUAAAGUGCGCCGUAGUCCGGAUUGGAGUCUGCAACUCGACUCCAUGAAGUCGGAAUCGCUAGUAAUCGUGGAUCAGAAUGCCACGGUGAAUACGUUCCCGGGCCUU